GAUGAACGCUGGCGGCGUGCCUAAUACAUGCAAGUCGAGCGAACAGACGAGGAGCUUGCUCCUCUGACGUUAGCGGCGGACGGGUGAGUAACACGUGGAUAACCUACCUAUAAGACUGGGAUAACUUCGGGAAACCGGAGCUAAUACCGGAUAAUAUAUUGAACCGCAUGGUUCAAUAGUGAAAGACGGUUUUGCUGUCACUUAUAGAUGGAUCCGCGCCGCAUUAGCUAGUUGGUAAGGUAACGGCUUACCAAGGCAACGAUGCGUAGCCGACCUGAGAGGGUGAUAGGCCACACUGGAACUGAGACAAGGUCCAGACUCCUACGGGAGGCAGCAGUAGGGAAUCUUCCGCAAUGGGCGAAAGCCUGACGGAGCAACGCCGCGUGAGUGAUGAAGGUCUUCGGAUCGUAAAACUCUGUUAUUAGGGAAGAACAAAUGUGUAAGUAACUAUGCACGUCUUGACGGUACCUAAUCAGAAAGCCACGGCUAACUACGUG
This 497-nucleotide ribosomal RNA is filed under the name uncultured bacterium. RNAcentral describes it as "partial 16S ribosomal RNA". It matches the Rfam family "Bacterial small subunit ribosomal RNA", at positions 28 to 507 of the family's 1533-position model. The record is from RNAcentral.